CUUUUGAAGAGAUUGGUUGCCUUCACUCAAGCAAAAGCAAGGUGUUAUGCUGUCAUUUUUCAUCUGAUGGGAGACUAUUAGCCAGUGCUGGCCAUGACAAGAAGGUUUCUAUUUGGAACAUGCAAACUUUUGAUUUCGUUAAUUCUUCAGAAGGACAUUCACUUCUGGUUACAGAUGUUCGGUUUAGACCAAAUUCAACCAUACUUGCCACAUCUUCCUUUGAUAGAACAUUGCAAAUAUGGGAUGCAUCCAAACCAAGCAAACCACUGUUCAAGCUUCUUGGGCAUGCUGACCAAGUGAUGGCAUUGGAUUUCCAUCCAAGAAAGGUGGAUCUGCUUUGCUCAUGUGAUAGUAAUGAUGAGAUCCGAUUAUGGAAUGUCAACCGUUGUGCUUGCACACAUGUUUCUAAGGGAGCGACUAAGCAAGUCAGAUUCCAGCCUCAAUGUGGCAAGUUAUUGGCUACUUCCACCAGAAAUAAUAUCAAUGUAAUUGAUGUUGAGAAUGAUACUGGUGUCCAAUUCAAUUUGAAGGGGCAUGCCGAAGAUGUCCUUUCUCUUUCCUGGGAUAUAAGUGGGAAGUAUAUUGCAUCUGUUAGUGCAGACAGCGCACGAAUAUGGUCACUUGUGUCAGGUGGAAGAUGCAUUCAUGAAUUGCAUUCAAAUGGCAACAAGUUCCAAUCAUGCACCUUUCAUCCUGGAUAUUCACAGCUCCUGAUAAUUGGCAGCUACCAGUCACUUGAGUUAUGGAAUCCAAUUGAGGGAAACAAAACAUGGUCAGUCCCAGCGCAUAGUGGGUUAAUUGCUGCACUGGCCGACUCACCACAGGCUGAAACGAUUGCAUCAGCAAGCCAUGACCAAUGUGUCAAGUUGUGGAAAUGAAACCCUUCGAGUUGCAGAUGCCUCCAUGUAAACUAUUUACUCGCAUGUCUGCCUAUGCAGUUUUGUGAACACAUCUUAUAGGUUCAAGAUACUUUUCUUGGGUUGACUUCUGACAGCUGUAGAUGGUAAUAUUGGCGACGUCCAUUUGUCAAGAAUAAAUGCUGCACUGCUGAAGAUACAGAAGUUAUCAUAGCAUGACAGACAAAAGAUUGAAUACUUGGAAUUGUAUCUUACACAGGUUUAUAAACCCACAUAUAAUCAGAUGUAUGAAUCAUGAAAAAGAUUUAGUAAAAUGCUGUCAUAUUAGCUUCCCG
RNAcentral lists this unclassified non-coding RNA (1192 nucleotides) under Hevea brasiliensis (rubber tree). The record is from RNAcentral. Lineage: Eukaryota; Viridiplantae; Streptophyta; Magnoliopsida; Malpighiales; Euphorbiaceae.